Molecule: ribosomal RNA, 497 nt
Filed under: uncultured bacterium
Lineage: Bacteria
Description: partial 16S ribosomal RNA
Rfam family: Bacterial small subunit ribosomal RNA
Source: RNAcentral
GAUGAACGCUGGCGGCGUGCCUAAUACAUGCAAGUCGAGCGAACAGACGAGGAGCUUGCUCCUCUGACGUUAGCGGCGGACGGGUGAGUAACACGUGGAUAACCUACCUAUAAGACUGGGAUAACUUCGGGAAACCGGAGCUAAUACCGGAUCAUAUAUUGAACCGCAUGGUUCAAUAGUGAAAGACGGUUUUGCUGUCACUUAUAGAUGGAUCCGCGCCGCAUUAGCUAGUUGGUAAGGUAACGGCUUACCAAGGCAACGAUGCGUAGCCGACCUGAGAGGGUGAUCAGCCACACUGGAACUGAGACACGGUCCAGACUCCUACGGGAGGCAGCAGUAGGGAAUCUUGCGCAAUGGGCGAAAGCCUGACGGAGCAACGCCGCGUGAGUGAUGAAGGUCUUCGGAUCGUAAAACUCUGUUAUUGGGGAAGAACAAAUGUGUAAGUAUCUAUGCACGUCUUGACGGUACCUAAUCAGAAAGCCACGGCUAACUACGUG